AUUGUACUCUUUGUUGUAGUUUCCUUCGAAAUAAGUAGGAGGCAUUACUUUGAGAACAACCUGCACACACGACAUAUGGUAAUAGAAAAGUCCAAGUAUCUUCUUCAUUUGAAUAUAGUAUUCUACAUUCUACUAAAACUUUUUAUUUUAUGGGAAAAAAAACCUUUUCUACAUAGGAAGACUGGGAUUCUCUGAAUUUCAAUAUAUAUUCUGCUGAACUCCUAACUUGAUCUGUUUUGCCCUGGUAAAUCCCAUUAGGCCAGAUGAUUCUGGGUUGGAAUAUCCUCUGUCUGAAGUUCUGUAUUUUUCCAGUGGAAUUGACUCCAUACGUAAGUGAUUGCAUGCUAAAUAGAAAUACAAGGAUUCUAAUAUUACAUAAGCCUAUCUCCUGUUAUUAUUUGUUCAUAAUAAUAAUAUUUGUUCAUAAUAUGUAGCAUUAGAAAUGUCACUGUGCUGGUGGCUCUUAGCCCUGAUGCAAAGAGUGCAUCCGAAUUAGUAAUUUAGGGCACAUGACAGGUUCGUUCUUUCAUGAAUUUGCCUUGCACUCAUACUUGAAGGCAGUAUGCACUCAGAGCUGUUUCCCACCCAUGAAACUGAAGCUGAGGACAUAUGCGGGUUUACCUUUCUGGGUGACCCACUUGCAGUGCAGAUGGACAGUCCUGCAGAAGUUUGCUCAUUACGUGUGUACUGCAUGCCUAGGACUGGAAAGUGGCUUGAACUUCAUUAUGAGGAAUGACAUCAUGUGGUUAUGAGGUCCUUGAGCUAUAACAGGGCACAGCAAAUUCAACCCUGAGCCUUACUGCUUUGUUGCACAACUGGUAAUGCAGGCAGAUGUAAAGUGUUUGCAUUUAAUGUGUGGGUAGUAAGGGAGAGCGGAAGCAAUGCAACUAUCCAGUGCAGGAGGAUAAGCAGUCAGCCUGGUGUGUUAGCCACGUUAGCUCUAGGUGUUUCAAAGAGGUUAAUUCUGAGCAGGGUGAUGAAGAGAGAGCCUACGUAUGUCUCAGUGUUACUAAAUCUUAUGAUCUUGUCAGCAGCUUUAGGAUGUACAGUAAUGUUCUUUGAGUUCUAGCUGUAGAAAUCUUGUUAUUAUACGAGACUAUCAAAUUUUUUGAUGUAUUUUUUUAAUAAAGGAAGUUUUUUGCCAGGAGAGAAGUUUGAAACUGUGCAUCUGAAAAACAAAACACAAAACCCAACAGCAAAAAGGUGCUUUGUAAGAACCUGCAUGCUUUUCCUUCCCUUUUUGCUCUUCAAGGGCAGCUCCUCCUAACGAUACAGAAAACACAGGAGAAAGCACAGAGUUGGCUGAGAGUCCUGGCAAGCAGAAAGACACUCGCUUCUGUAACUGUCAGCUUUGUAACUCCAGUUAAAACUUUGUAUUCUGCUUUCAGAUCGUGUGGAUGGACCAGCCCUCUCUAUUUUUAUUUUGCUCCUGUUAAAUAAGCAGUAUUAAUAAAGUUGCCCCCCUUUUGUAUAGGCUAUGCAUUUCAUCUUUGAAGUUAGCAGUCACUUUUUUUGUCGAGCGCUUUCAUUGUUUAGACGUGCUUCCCAGUUCCAGCUCCAUUUUAUCACCGCAAAUUUCCUCUCUUGCAUAUUCUUCCCUCUAGGUCAUUGAUAGUGAAAGCAAGCAAUAUGUUUCCUGGUGUUCAACCAUGUGGCACUUCACUAGUCACAUAAUACACUAGAUAAGCAGAUGACAGUCUGUGCUGCUCUGAAUAGCAUAUGUGCAUGCCAGCUGAAAGCCAGGAGCCGGAGGACAUACAGGCAGCCAACAGAGGGAGUCAAUGGCAGCAAAGCACUGGCCAUGCAACCUGCACUUUGGAGAAGAAUGGACAGUUUUGUGCUUAUGAUCAAAGAGCAGAAGAUGUCAGCCUGUUUUCCCAUUAGGCCCCAGGCAUCUCUGACAGCCCACGUGUUCUUUGCUUCAGGCUGCAGGUUGCUACCUGCGAGAAGCUCCGUUCUAGCUCUGUACCCACCAGAAUGUCAGGUGUUCUGAGCAAAGUUUGACACUUCUUACAAUUGUUGUGAGGACCUGGAAGAUACAAUAGGUAGCGUUUGUUUUUUGUCUGCUAAGUAUAAGCAUAACUACCAGGUAAUGUUUAGAAGCUAUAAUUGCUGUCUGAUUAACAUGGCGAAAUUCAGCCUAUGUUGUAAAGAACGCCUGCUUGCUCUUUCUUUUAGAACAUAAUAGUGAUGUUUAAAGUCUCUUGCGCACAUCCGUAACUUGUUACCAAACAGUUUGAGUGUUACAGACCCCACCAACCAAAGUGGUGUUCCCUACAGACUGAGGAAGCCCUAGAUCUCCACGCAGGCUGCACAGUAUUCCUCAGAGCAGCUGUCCGCAGCAAGAAAUUCAUCAUUCACUCUCUGAUCAGCACAUACACUCUUUCCAUUCUCCAUUUAAUGGUGAAAAAUGUGAUGUGUACUCAAGAACCGCUAUAAAGCGGCCAGUUUGGGGUAAGCAGCUGACAUUUCAUUUCCAUGGCAAUCUUUAUUCCUGUCUGUCUGAACACUCAUCCUUGUGGAAGCUAGCAGGUGUUACUGUUUCUCCUGGCUGAUGUGCUCCUGGUGCAUCAGCUUUGUGCUCGCGGGGAGGCUGCCUUUGCUGGUGGACUGGCAGGAGAGUGGUAGCUGUUGAAAAAAGGUGUUCUAAUAGUAAUGCUAUCCUAGAUCGUGGCACGUAAUUGAUGAGACUUCAGUGUGAUGCCCCAGAAAAAUAUCUUGCAGCGCAACCCUUCUCAACAGCUCUUCAACUUAGAACAGGAACACAGAUGCAAAAAUAUUCCUUACUGUAGAUUAGCUGUCCCACACAGCAGGGCUGUCUGCUACCAGCAGGAGAAUGGCUGGGCUCUCUCCCUGUUUGGAGAGAGAUUUUGAUGGAAUGGAUCAGUACUGGGCCUGCUGGUUGUCUGGAAGUGUGAAGGAAGAGAACAAUUCCUACUAAACCUAUGGAAGCAGUAAUUACAAUUCUGCUGUAAGUAUUCAGGAACAUAUUUUACGUCUGUAGUUCGGUUCACUGCAUCUCUUACUGGCACACGAAAGCGAAAGUGUUGCCAGAGUAAAACAAGACAUGGGUCUUAGGUUCAUCAAAGCAAUUUUCCAAAAUAGCAAUUGAAUCUGAAGCUGGACAAAUUAGCAUAGCCAUUUCAUCUGGAGUGAAGAAAGAGUGUAUAAUUCUUCCCAUCACAGCUAGAGAGUUUGAAUUUCACUUCCUGAAGGGGAAAAGGGAAGAGUGCUCUAAGAGAAUACUGAAUCUGUACUGAUUUGAGAUGGAAGGACUAUUGUUCCAUACGUUAUCUGUGGCCUGAUAGACUGCUGUUUUCUUUUCUCAGUUAGUGGGACAGCAACCCCUAAGUGACCCUCUUAAUCUGUGUUAUUGUAACUCACUGGCAGCUGUUACAGGAUGAAAAUUAAAAAAUUAAGAUACAUGACCUAAGAGGGACCAAAGAAGGUUUUCAUCAUCUUUCCCCAGCCAUUUGAUCUCAUGCUCAGAAGUUAUGACAGGGAGUAAGAAGGAUGGCAAAACCAGGUUUGCAUGUUCUGCCUGGUGAGUGAUAGUAGAUCUGCUUUGCAGAAAGAAUCUCACAGAUUUGGUAUUGAGCAGCAAAUAACACUGUAAUCCUCCAGGCUGCACAGAUGAAAUGGACCUCUCAUGUUGGCUGUGCAGAUUUUGAAGACAAAAUGCUCACCUGGAAUUCCUUGGGCUUAGGAGACUCAGGGCUAUGGAGAGUGCCCACUGGUUUCCAUUUAGCGAGUGGUGUAAGUUCUGGACUUUUUGAAAGUUACUGCUGCAGGAGAUCAGCGGUCUUUUGCAUUCUCCUAGGCACCUCCUAUGAGGUGCUAAAAUGAGAUCAGCACUCCCAGCAAAUGCACAGAUACUCACGAUCCAGUCCUUCUCUCUUCUGUGUCCUGAUGAGCAGUGAGUUCAUAACGUUGACAGCUGACAUAUUGUCACUUGACAUCUGCUGAUGUGUGCGAGGUAGAGCAAGCUCCUUAGAAGUCUGCCCUGCAUUCUGCAAAUACAUGCAGGCAUCGCUGCGUGCAGUUACUGUGAUGUGUAUUUUCAGGGUUGUCCCAGUGAUCAUAACUAAUGCAGACAUGAGGCAUAUUGAGAUGACUGCUUGUGAACACAGGCGUGUUCAUUUAAGGACUUACGGAAGGCACUGGUUUGCUUCCCAAGAGAUACUCUGAUGGUGAUUUCCUGCCUACAUUGUCCAUGCCUUUUGUGUGGAAAAGUGAUUAACUGGGCAGCUAUUAAAUAAGAGUUUUUUCCUUCGUGCCCAAGAAAUCCUCACAUAGUGUUGCAAAUUGCAAGUCUUGCCUUGUCUUGUUUCCCCAUUGCUUUCUGGAAAAGGUAGCACUGUGCAGGCUUCAAAUCUUCGAGUUCUGCUCUGCCUGCAAGCAGAUGGGCUGUGAAAACAGUGUCCUGACAGUAGAGCUUCUACCAGUGGACAAAAGUGCUGCUUCUGCAGGAUGCCUGUGUGCCACUACUUAGAGACUGUUGGCUGUGAGGUUUCUCUGACACUCUUGUGAACCCUCCCAGGGACAGAUGGGUUUGCUCUUGAAUGGCUCCAUUCUUUUCUCUUUAUGAAUAGAAGGGGCACUUGUUAAUUUGCCCUGACUGCAGUCAUGCACCACAGGCGUCUGCUUUGUCACCCCUCCUGCUGACCAUGGCCUCAAGGCCAGGAGGGAUCAUACUCUGAGAAAGUGUGUACUUACUGUAUCUGUCCAGAAUGUCUUUGGGGAGGAGGGGGAUCACAGCUGAGCACAGACCGUGCACUUCCACUUGUCUUGCUCCAACCUGGGAAUUAAACGGGAGGCUUCUAGGAAACUUGCUUGGUAGAAGCAACUGAUGGAAAUUAGAGAAAUAGAAUUCUUGUUCUCUCUGCAUUGAGGAACCUUAUCAAAAGCCAUGUAAGCAACAAUGGGUUUUGCAAGUCUUUGAGUUUGCACAUGAGCUAUUAUAAAAUUAUUCAUGGGUUUUUAAGUUGGAUUACUGAAAUGCAGUGUACCUAAGGCAGUGUCUGAAGAAUGUCUGGAAACUUUCCAUAAGAGCACAAACCUACUUCUUGCUGUCUUGAUCUCUUGAGGCCAUGCUUUGCUUGUAGACUGCUCUCAAAGUUCUCAGAUCAUGUACCAACUGCCCAUGCAUUUCCAGACAUAAGUAAAAGCAAAGUUUUGAGCCAUCAACCUCAGCAAUACAUAAUUCUUCUUCCAUUCUUCAUUACAUCUUCACAGAUGCAAUCAGCUGCUAUUCUUCAGUGCACAACAUAAUUAGUUAAAGAAGAAUGUUCUUCUGCAGCCCUCAGACCCAGGGUAUGUUCCUUCCUCCUCCUUGCUGACUUCUACAUGAUGUAGCAGAGCUGUUUUCCAGGACAAGCGUCUACAAGCAGAUAGGUCUGAAGGAUUUUAGGCAAAUGGGGUUAUGUUUUUUUCAGCUUUAGAGCUUGUGAAUACCUUAUUAGCAAACACUGGGGUCUUUGGUGAUUUGUCCAGAGGUUGGAGCAGGUGCAUAGCUCACACCCAGAUAAAUAAGGCGUAAAUUGUCACUUGCACCACGGAGAGAUCAAUCUCUGUAAUUUAGAUGACUGAAUUUGUAUAGUUGGUGUGCAAGGAAAAUACCUUUUUUAGAACUAUAAGCUGAUAUUGUCAUUUGCGUUGUGAACGUUGGUCACUGUAUUAGAUUAUAUAUGUGAAUAAGCACAGCCUUUUGAACUGUGCCCACAGGAUGCCCCAAGGAGAGAGUCCCAGCUUUCAGAUGUGUGUGGAAACAUUAUUUCCUACAUUGAGUAUGAGACUUUGGGAGUCGUUUUCCUUGCUUUUCCAGGGAUUUGGUAUGUGACACGAUACAGCAUCUGGUAAAAGUUUAACUGAAACAUUACUUAUUUCUAAAUUCAAAUAAUUUCUCUCCAGUUAAAAUGUAUACCCUAUGCUGCGUGGUUUUCUGGCGCCGGGUAGGUCACAAAUCAUAUUGCCUGCCUCUCAAGAUGAGUAUUAGAGUAAUUCACUGCGCUGUGUACAACAUCACCUAGAAGCCACAACACAGGUGAUAAAUAGUAGUUGGUUAGCAGCGGAGGGACAGAGGGAGGUCCUUCAAAGAAAAAAUGUACUGUAAAGA
Numida meleagris (helmeted guineafowl) is the source of this 6115-nucleotide long non-coding RNA. RefSeq lists it as uncharacterized. The record is from RefSeq and is a predicted model, not a curated record. The transcript has 3 exons. NCBI's taxonomy places the organism in Eukaryota, Metazoa, Chordata, Aves, Galliformes, Numididae.